RNAcentral lists this long non-coding RNA (695 nucleotides) under Phascolarctos cinereus (koala). RNAcentral's name for it is "lncRNA (ENSPCIG00000019495.2)". Lineage: Eukaryota; Metazoa; Chordata; Mammalia; Diprotodontia; Phascolarctidae. The record is from RNAcentral.
GGCAGGAGUGGACAGUCAGUAACAUCAAAUGCUAAAGAAAAAUCAAGUUAAGUCAUUGGAAAGGUUGGGCAGCUAGUGAUCUAAGUUAUCACACUUAGUACCUAUGUGUAGCACCUAAUAGAAUGGCUGAUCCUAUGAUUAUCACCCAUCUCAUCACAUGACCAGGUGUGGGAACUACCAUGAAACUGCCAGAGAAGAAGAGAAGAGUCAAGCUGUCCUUCUUAGACCUAAAAGAAAAGAAAGAGACCCAAGUUUCUGCUUGUGUAUGGGUAUCUCAUCUGGAAGGGAUUUGUAUUUGUGGGAAAGAGAUGGAAAGACAUCAUAUACAUAAAGAGAUUUCCUCUCUACUUCAAAAGAACCCAGAACUCCUUGGCCAUGGGGAAGCCCAAUGUCUCCUGCAACGAAGAGGAGAGUGCCUUGGCUGGGUUGGACUCUUCAGUAAUGCAAGCGUAGGACUGUUCCACCAUCUGCUGAUCACAGCCAGGUGUUAUAGUGGAUAGAGUCUUGGAGUCAGGAAUACCUGAGACAGAAUCCUACCUUGGAUGCUUAGUGGGUGGUGUGGUGGGUAAGUCACUUAACUACUCUUAGCCUCAGUUUUCUCAUCUGAAAAAUGGAGAUAAUAAGAGCACCUGGCCUCACAGGGUUGUGGUGAGGAUUAAAUGAGAAAAUAGGCAUAAAACACUUUGCAAACCAAG